Molecule: ribosomal RNA, 253 nt
Filed under: uncultured bacterium
Lineage: Bacteria
Description: partial 16S ribosomal RNA
Rfam family: Bacterial small subunit ribosomal RNA
Source: RNAcentral
UACGAAGGGGGCUAGCGUUAAUCGGAAUUACUGGGCGUAAAGCGUGCGCAGGCGGUUUUGUAAGCCAGGUGUGAAAUCCCCGGGCUCAACCUGGGAAUGGCAUUUGGGACUGCAAGGCUGGAGUGCGGCAGAGGAGACUGGAAUUCCUGGUGUAGCAGUGAAAUGCGUAGAUAUCAGGAGGAAUACCGAUGGCGAAGGCAGGUCUCUGGGCUGACACUGACGCUCAUGCACGAAAGCGUGGGGAGCAAACAGG